RNAcentral lists this ribosomal RNA (508 nucleotides) under uncultured bacterium. RNAcentral's name for it is "partial 16S ribosomal RNA". It matches the Rfam family "Bacterial small subunit ribosomal RNA", at positions 29 to 523 of the family's 1533-position model. The record is from RNAcentral.
AUUGAACGCUGGCGGCAGGCCUAACACAUGCAAGUCGAGCGGCAGCGGGAAAGCAGCUUGCUACUUUUGCCGGCGAGCGGCGGACGGGAGAGUAAUGUCUGGGAAAUUGCCCAGUCGAGGGGGAUAACAGUUGGAAACGACUGCUAAUACCGCAUACGCACUACGGGGGAAAGCAAGGGACCGUCGGGCCUUGUGAGACUGGAUAUGCGCAGGUGGGAGUAGUUAGUUGGUGGGGUAAUGGCUCACCAAGGCGACGAUCCCUAGAUGGUCUGAGAGGAUGAUCAGCCACACUGGAACUGAGACACGGUCCAGACUCCUACGGGAGGCAGCAGUGGGGAAUAUUGCACAAUGGGGGAAACCCUGAUGCAGCCAUGCCGCGUGUGUGAAGAAGGCCUUCGGGUUGUAAAGCACUUUCAGCGAGGGGGAAAGGUUGAUGCCUAAUACGUAUCAACUGUGACGUUACUCGCAGAAGAAGCACCGGCUAACUCCGUGCCAGCCGCCGCAGUAA